This is a long non-coding RNA of Argiope bruennichi, 1242 nucleotides long. RefSeq lists it as uncharacterized. The record is from RefSeq and is a predicted model, not a curated record. Lineage: Eukaryota; Metazoa; Arthropoda; Arachnida; Araneae; Araneidae. The transcript is spliced from 3 exons.
GUGGCCUGGUGGUAAGAUCUCGGCUUCGGGACUGGGGAGUUUCAGGUUCGUGACCCGAUUCCACCGAAGAACCGUCGUGUAAGCUGGCCUGGUGCACGUUAAACCGUCCGGCUCAUACGUCCUUUCGCUGGUGUGGUGUGGAGAGAGGGGUGUCAGCUCAGGUGUCGUUCUUGUCAUCUGACCAAAAUUACGAGGAAAUAGAUAAGCAUAGUUAAAUAGCUAAAGGAGUGCAAGAUAUGUAACACAACUAUUGACAACAAUGUGCAAAAGACAUUGCUUCACGGCAGAACUUUCAAGAGAAAGUAGCAACAAUCGUGUGGUGCCUUCAAGAAAAUAUUGAUAGUUGACUGUUAGCUGAUACAUCAAUUGCACAGAUGGCCUGAGAAUAGAGAAAAGGCUGGUUGACUAUCUGUUUCUAUUAAUCACGUGGCAAUUGCACGUUCCUUCUUGAUUACGAAGGAAAAACUGACUGCAUUCAAAAUUGAUAAUACCAUCUUCAAUGCUGAUUGUUGCCUUUGGAUGCGAAGAUUUUGAAAGCAAGUUUCUGAUAUUUUCCAGGAGGUUUGCAGAAGGAGAGCUUUAAAAAUUUUGUGCCUAUUUUGAUGAACAGAAUGGAUUGAUGAAAGUAUUUUUCGGAAAGAAAUUAAUAAUUUGCUAAUUUUUAAAAAAUUAUUCUAGCAUCAGAAAUAUAAAUAUCAGUUCUACUCAUUGAUUCUACUAGAGUUAAGCCAACUGUACGAGCAAGAAAGUGAAGCUUGAAAGUGCAAGAAUAUAAAAUUCAAUCUUACUCAUUGAUUCACGUAGAAACGAGUCAGUUUGAAGGAAAGUUUAAACAACAAAGUUAAAAACUCUAAUCUGACUCAUUAAUUAAAUUAAAGCAAAUUAGUUUAACGAGCAAAAAAUCAAUUUAUCGCAGCUUAGCUAUACGAGUGACAGUGCUGUUUUGCAAUCAACGUGAAAUUCCACCGAGAUGAAGUGCCAUAUGUUAUGACACAGCUCUCGUACUUCAGUCAUUAUUACACUUUUUGAGAAUAGCAGUUAAAUAUAUUCAUUUAAUACAUAUUUAUUUAAUUAAUAAUUUUCUGAGACAUUUGUGAAUCUCGAAUGCUCUUAGACCGUGCAAAUAUAUCAUAAUAAUUUUAAAUUUUAUUGCCUCUUGUUUAAAGUACAUAAGGAUGAGAUAUAAGAAUUUUGCAGAGAAUAGUUAUCGUUUUUGAUUUUAAAUUUUAUUAAUAAUUACAA